Molecule: ribosomal RNA, 97 nt
Filed under: Clostridia bacterium
Lineage: Bacteria; Bacillati; Bacillota; Clostridia
Description: partial 23S ribosomal RNA
Rfam family: Bacterial large subunit ribosomal RNA
Source: RNAcentral
GUAAGAUUCCAUGUAGACUAUGUGGUUGAUAGGCUGGAGGUGUAAGUGCAGUGAUGUAUGUAGCUGACCAGUACUAAUAAAUCGAGGGCUUAACCAC